Non-coding RNA from Chlorocebus sabaeus (green monkey), 2855 nucleotides. The record is from RefSeq and is a predicted model, not a curated record. Lineage: Eukaryota; Metazoa; Chordata; Mammalia; Primates; Cercopithecidae.
UUGCUGGAGCUCUGAGAUGCAGAACGUAGAACGAUACUGAAGUAUGGACUGGGUCUGAGCUGCCGCACAGCUUUGAAGAAAGUCUGAGGCACCCUGGAGAGAGACCCGGGCUUUCAGUACCCUUCUCAGGCCCCCAGCCCUUCUAGAGCUUUCCUCGACGAGAUGUGUCAGCUUGCCCUGCACAAGAUUUUGCCUUGUCCGGGAUCAUAGACCAAUGCUAAGUGGCAGCAGCAAGCCCUUAAGCAGAUUCCUAUUGAGGACAUUCCUUACUCUGUUUCCUUGCCAUGCCACAGUGUUACUGCCGCGUCCUUGUUCUUGAAGCUCCCAAGAUGACGACGAGCCACUUCCAAGAUGGCAGCAAGCCUCAUGUUCUCUGACCUGGGGUUCUUGGCCUCAUGGAUUCCAAGGAAUGGAACCUUGGGCCAUACUGUGAGUGUUAUAGCUGUAUUAGAAGCCAUGGGUCACGGAAGAGAACCAUGGAACCCAGUGACUAGUGUUCAGCUCGAUUAGGAGGAACCCCGCACUUACCCAUGCAGGAACAAUAGCGAACCUUCAGCCGGAUCCAAAGUGGCAACCGGCGCCUCCCUGGAUCAGAAAUGCAGUGGACACCCUGCCGGAUCUGGAGCGGGAACAUCAACGGCAGGUCUGGGAUGGCGGUGAACAGCAGUGGUGGAUGGGGGUCCCUGUUGUGAGGACGGCACGGGAGAGAUGACUGCCUUCCAGCCUAAGGGAUUGUGUGCACUGAAGACAGCCACGGAAAAGCAUCCUGGGAAAAGCAUCAUUGCGUGGAAUAGAACAUUUCAACAGCUCAAACACACUGGCAAUGCUCCAGGAGAGGAAUGACUGUUUCCUUCCCAGACAUGUCAUUUUGUAUUAGCAGAAGCUGGACAGCUUGAGAAUUAUUGCUUGUAUAUCUGGAAUUAAAUUUCUAGCUCUCCGAAUGCUCAUCCUUUACAGCAGUGCCAUGUUCUCGGAAGUUUAGCCAGUAAUGGUGUUUCCUGCUGCAAUAAAUACAAGUUGGGGAAAGUUCGCCACAUCCACUCUCCUUCUUUAUUGAACAUAAUGAAUGAUCACCCAUUGCAUGGAUAACAAAGCAAUCAGGAAAGAAAACCUUUCUUGUUCUUUUUUGGCUCAAUGAAAGGCAGUACACAUGCUUGCUAACAGCUAUAUGGCCAAAGAAAACACUCAAACCUGCGGGUUUGUUCUUGCUUGGGGAGCAGGAGAAGUCAAUGCCAUGAAGCCAUUCUAAAGUGGAUCGGGUAGUGGAGAUGUAAUAGAGAUCAUUUCUAUUUCCACUGAGCUUUAAAACUUGGUGGAAAGAAAACUGACUUCAAUCAAAUAAUGCUACCAAGAUAUAAUGUAAGUGAUAAGUGCAAAGAAGAAGAAGCGUUAACUGUAGAGCGUCUACACUGGGGAAUCCUGGUACACUCUGGAAAAUGCUGAAGCGUGUCUUUGAGAACGUGGCGUUUGAAUUGAAAUCUCAAGUUCAGGGACUAGGAAUGACGAUCUGAACCAAGGGAAGAGCUUUUUCCAGGAUGGGGGUUGGGACCAUGUGAAGCCCUGGGGAAGAUGGAAGAUGGUGAAUGUGAGCUGAGGUGAGUGGAGAGAGAGAGGACAGAGACAAGGCAGGCAGAGCAAACGCUUGAUCCUGAGGGACAUCGGAGGCCAUGCUGUGAACUUGGCCCUUUCUUUUAUCUGCAAUGACCUGUCUGAGAGAUUUCAUGCAGAAGAGUAGCACGAGUGCCUUUGGAAAUGGCCAUCAGGCGGCCAUGUGGUUCCUAUUGCUUGGAAGACAACAGGACACCGCUUGGAAGCAACUCCAGGUAAGACACAGGGCUCAAGACGAUGUUUUGAUUGAUCCUACCGUCUACCAAUAGGUAUCAAGGACUCCUGACGUUUCAGGUAUGGCUCGGGGGUUGAGACAGAGCAGUGGGAAAAUGACAAAGGCCCUGCUGUUCAUUCUACUGGGUGCGUCAAGGGCUAAGAAGGUCAGUCACAAAGGAUAAUGUGGGAGAGACAAGAAUGGAACAAAAAAAAUGACAGGAAUCAAAGUAGAUCUAUGCAUUUACACUGGGGAAAAGUCAAUGUUCUGAGGGGAAAGGAGAACACAACAGUGAACCUUACUCUGAACCAGUGUCAAACAGUUAGCAAAGUGUAGAAAUUAGCUGAUUUUUUUUUCGCAUGUGUACCCCUUAAGAGCAGGAGGGGAAUUUUAUUAGAACCCCCUUUUCUAGACGGAUAAUGGCCAAGCUGUUCAUUUUCUGUGAUGUGCAGUUCUGUAAUCUUUCAAAUGAUCAUCAACUCUACAUCUAGCCUACAGAUUCACAACUGAAGCACGGUAAAUAUGGAGCACCUGAAAGUGCAGAGCUGCCAUGUUUACUGAAGCACUUAUUACAUAAAAAUAAUAUUUGUUAUUCAAUUGUGUUCUAAAUUUGAACAUGGCACACACAAUUCUGGUUAUAUUAACUACUGGAGUUAAUGAAAAUGAAGGAAGUCUACCUAAACUGAUAUGUGAGAAAUUAAAAGCAGAAUAAACACCCACUCACAGUGAGUGGCAGGUAUUCUAAUACUUUCUAAUGUACUUUCAUAGAAUGUUUACAGAAAUAGAAAUGACUAAGAUUCAUUUUUGAAGACAAUUUUGUGGCUAAUGGAAGUAGUUAAUUUGUAAUGUUUGAUAAUCUAGAGCUUUUUAAUCUUAGAGCUUCACUAAGUAACUUAUAUAUCAUGAAUCCUAAAUGUUCACUAAGUAACUUAUAACACAAUUAUCACACUUAUAACAAUUCAUUGUUAUAAGUUACAUAGUGAACAUUUAGGAUUCAUGAUUGACUCUCUUGAAACUGUCCUGGAUAGUUCAA